RNAcentral lists this long non-coding RNA (594 nucleotides) under Mus caroli (Ryukyu mouse). Its description in RNAcentral is "lncRNA (MGP_CAROLIEiJ_G0004924.1)". Lineage: Eukaryota; Metazoa; Chordata; Mammalia; Rodentia; Muridae. The record is from RNAcentral.
GCUCUGGGACUGGAGUCUUCUAAGCCUUCCUGCCCCUUCCCCUAGAUAGGUGAGCUUUUUCGGUAAGAACUAAAUGCAAUGCUGGACACUGGAAAUAAUUCUACUCAAAAGCAUGAGUUGCCUUUUCUCAUUGUAUUCGCCUCUCAGAAGGUUUUCUUGUAGACGGAUUUAUGGAAGUGACUUUCUUCUCUGGCCCGGCAAGAAAACUGCUUUCUGGUUUACAGAACUUGGAUGUAACGGGAAUCCUCCCUUCCACCAGCACUGAAGAAGCACUUCCUUUGAAAGAAGAUUCUGGAAAUGUAGUGGAAGACCUUGCCAUCUCACAUCUACCACCUUGUCUACCCCGUUCCUCCUCUGGAGUGCCUGGUGGAGACAUGUGGAAAAGAGCUGGAAAGUGAGAAUAGAAUCCCAUUUAUCCACAGUAGCCCAACUAUAGUUAUUAAGGAGUUAUAGUACUGCUCACUGCUUCUGCCUGUGGUGUCUAUUUCUUCCCUCUUUGUCAAAGCCACUUUCAGGUGCCUUAGCCUCUUCCAGAUCCAAGCUUUCUGACUGACGUGUUUAAGAAAGUGAAAUAAAAGUUUGUAGACUACCCUA